CCUACGGGCGGCAGCAGUGAGGAAUAUUGGUCAAUGGACGAGAGUCUGAACCAGCCAAGUAGCGUGAAGGAUGACUGCCCUAUGGGUUGUAAACUUCUUUUAUAUGGGAAUAAAACGUUCCACGUGUGGGAUUUUGUAUGUACCAUAUGAAUAAGGAUCGGCUAACUCCGUUCCAGCAGCCGCGGUAAUACGGAGGAUACGAGCGUUAUCCGGAUUUAUUGGGUUUAAAGGGAGCGUAGGUGGAUUGUUAAGUCAGUUGUGAAAGUUUGCGGCUCAACCGUAAAAUUGCAGUUGAAACUGGCAGUCUUGAGUACAGUAGAGGUGGGCGGAAUUCGUGGUGUAGCGGUGAAAUGCUUAGAUAUCACGAAGAACUCCGAUUGCGAAGGCAGUUCACUGGACUGCAACUGACACUGAGGCUCGAAAGUGUGGGUAUCAAACAGGAUUAGAUACCCGAGUAGUC
RNAcentral lists this ribosomal RNA (460 nucleotides) under uncultured bacterium. RNAcentral describes it as "partial 16S ribosomal RNA". It matches the Rfam family "Bacterial small subunit ribosomal RNA", at positions 338 to 795 of the family's 1533-position model. The record is from RNAcentral.